Bactrocera neohumeralis is the source of this 3232-nucleotide long non-coding RNA. RefSeq lists it as uncharacterized. NCBI's taxonomy places the organism in Eukaryota, Metazoa, Arthropoda, Insecta, Diptera, Tephritidae. The transcript is spliced from 3 exons. The record is from RefSeq and is a predicted model, not a curated record.
UUUAAACUACAUAAUAUUGCAAUGUCACUACUUUUGUUGCCAUUACAUUUGUUGUCGUUACGUCGUGAAGUUGCUGUUGUCUAAGUGUUCAAUGCAUAAUGAUCGUUUGACAUCACUUUAUCAGCUGUUUGUGAAUAAGGAAAACGCUUUUGUAAAAAAUUUGAUAAUGUCGGAUGAAGUAGAGCCAAUAAAAAAAAGAGGUUAACUGCGUUUUCAUCAAGAUGGCUAGAAAUACCAAACUUUGCUUCGUGGUUAAAAAAAAAGAUGAGUACACUGCUUUGUGCAAAUUGUGCUUGGUUGAUAUUACAAUUAAAUAUGAAGCCGUCAGAGGAUUGGAGAAACAUUCACGUACAAAAAGACAUCAAAAUAUUGUAAAGACCAACCAAAUUUCUGGAAAUGUGAGCAAAUUUAUGUUAAGAGAAUCAACAAAUACUGAAGAAAUACUUGUCGCGAAACUUGAUCUUUUAACCAUUUUCCACAAUAUUAAGCAUGGAUUAUAUAUUGGAUAUAAUAGCCUAGAUUGCCAUAGUAAGCUUGAGAAAAGUAUUUUUCCCGAUAGUAAAAUUGCAGCAAAAAUAACUUGUGGUCGUACAAAAAGUUCUGCUAUUGCACGAAAUGUUUUGGGACCAUUUGCGCAAGAGCAAGUAGUUUUGGAUUUAAAAAAGUGUUAUUAUUUUGCUAUUGGAAACGAUGCAGCAAGCUUUGGCAAUGUUAAAUAUUUUGCAUAUACUGUUCAAUAUUUUGAUUCUAAAAGUGGUAUUUGUAAAAAGAUCUUGGAUUUUUAUGAAGACGAUAACUCCAAGUCGAUUGAUAUAUGUAUAUAACAAAAUCGAGCAAAUAAAUGACAAUUUUCAUCUGAGUAUUGAUCAAAUAUCUGCAUUCAGUGCAGAUAAUGCAGCGGUUAAUUAUGGAAUUAACAAUUCGGUAUACCAAAAACUAUUGCUUGAAAAUAAGAACAUAUUAAAAGCAAAUUGCAAUUGCCAUGUAAUCAACAAUUGUGUAAAAGUUGGAAUAAGCUGUUUAUCAAUUGACAUCGAACAUAUUGUUAUCAAAAUUUUUAACGAGUUUAGUUCUUUAUCGUGCAAAACAAAAAAGUUAAAGGAGAUUUUCGAGUUCACCAAGAUGGAGUAUAAAUCGCUUCGCCGACACGUACCAACACGAUGGCUUUCGCUCCUACCAGCAAUAGAUAGAUUCAUUAUUUGUAGAUUACUGCUGGAUUGGCCUGCUAUCAAAAGAUAUUUUCUUUAAAAAAAAAGAAAACUGUUGCAGGGAGCUAUGGGAUUUUGUUGCCAGAGGGGUUUCGAAUAUUGAUGUAAUGAAUGAAAACGAAGAAUGCUUUGAAGAAGGUAUUUCGGAAGCAUAUUUAUAUUUUGCGCAAAAUGUUUUGCACGAUUUUCAUGUGGCAAUCAAAGUAUUGGAAUCUGAUUCAUGUACAAUUGUUGAAGUCGACACAGCAAUGGAAAAAUUAAGAAUAGGCCUCUAAAAUAGACUGAAUGAUAAUUUUUUUGGGAAUAAGGCAAAUACAUUGAUGCGCUAAAUGAACCCAGAUGACAAAGAUGAAUUUAAACAACAAGCGGAAUUAUUCCUAACAAAAACAUUAAACUACUUAGAAGCUAAGUACGAUUACGGCGAGAAUUCAAUUAUGAAACAGUUAUCUUUGUUUUGCAUCAAAACAAAAUUAUUCACAUGGACUGAAUCAAAUGAUGUGAUAUCAAACUUAAAUAUAUGUACCGAUAUUAAUUGUGAUGUGUUAUAUACUGAAUAUUGCUCCUUACGUAAUAUUUACGACGGUCUAAUUUUUUUUUCAAAAUACAAUGAAAAUGAAAUGAAAAAUAUGAAAAAAAUUAUUUCAUUCACAUUUUCUAUACCAAUUAGCAACGCUUUUUGUGAAAAAAUAUUUAGUUUAUUUAAUAAUUUAUUUUCGAAAGAAAGGAACAAAAUGCUUAUAGAUCUAAUAAAAGCAGAGCUUUUAAUAAGACAAAAUUAAUCUGAAAAUUGUAAUGAAUUUAUAAAAUUUUUAAAUACAGAAAAAGGCAUAAAAUUGGCAAAGGCUUUAAAAAGUAAUAACAAAUAUACAUUUUGAAAUAUGUAUUAUGCCUAUACGUACUUAUUGAUAUGAAUUUAUAUAUGUUUUUUUUACUAUGAUAAUUUUUUUUUUUUAAAUAAUGGACUUUUUUAAUUUGUUCGCGGUGUCCAGACAAGUCCAUUUUUUUUUUAUCUUGUCCGGUUAAUAACGAUUUUCUAUCUGGCAACCCUAGCCCAGACACAUUUGCGGCUAAGUGGUGAAGUGUUUAAGAAAACUUAAAGAGCCAGCAAAAGAAAACGGAAAAAGUGAAAAGGAAUAUAAAACCUUUUAACUGGGAAAAAUAUUCCAUUUGAAAGUUCAGAGUAAGGGCGCUGUUAGAGUAAAACGAUUUGUUGAGUGUAAUUGAUAAAAAACAAACGGUGAUAAGUGAGAAAGUGAAACGGGCAGAAAGAAGUGCAAAGAGCCUUGUUAUCGAAUAUUUGAGUGACUCGUUUUUAGUUUUUGCCAACAAUGGGAAUACGGCUAAACACAUUUUGGACAAUUUGGAUACUAUUUACGAGCGUGAUACUUCGCUAGUGAUCCACUUUCAUUUAUUUGAUGAUCUGGUAACUGAGUUAGUCGCAGCAGGAGCCAAAAUAGACGAACUGGAUAAAGUGUAUCAUAGAAACUCUCACUGAGAGCAAUUUAACAUUAGCCUUUGUAAAAACCGUCUUCUCGAACCAGAAUGUUACUGUUGAAAGUAAUGUUGGAGAGAGACAGGCUCAGAUGGCAACGCCAACGCAGGCAGAACGUGCAUUUACGUUUAUGAUGAAAGUAGCGGUAAAAGAGACACAGACUCAGAUGGCAACAACAACGCAUCCAGAGCACAGUAUAUACAGUAGAUAACCUUUUCGUGGUAGCUUUCUGAGGGGUGAAUAGCGGCCAUCUUGGAUUUGCAACGCAGUGCUGUAUAUAUUGAGGCAGUAAAUACUUAGCAAAUUUAUUCUAUUAAAUAACAAAAACUAUAAAUGUUGUUGCUUAAUAUAAAAGAAAAUUGUUUAUUAAUGACAUAUAUUUACUAAUAUUUGAUUUAAACGCCAUAGUGUGUCAUGUUUCGCCCAUAAAAAUAUCAUUUACUGAUAGUCAGACAUUCUUUAUGUAGUGAGUUCUUAUUAAAAAAAAAGCAGCCCUGUUUUUAGAUUUCUCUGUGGUGAGUUUUCUUCUGAA